Molecule: transfer-messenger RNA, 401 nt
Filed under: Bacteroidales
Lineage: Bacteria; Pseudomonadati; Bacteroidota; Bacteroidia
Also listed under: 1 other name
Description: DMER64 sp002427525 Standard tmRNA
Rfam family: transfer-messenger RNA
About the family: Bacterial tmRNA, also known as 10Sa RNA or SsrA, is named for its dual tRNA and mRNA-like properties. Its role is to liberate the mRNA from a stalled ribosome.
Source: RNAcentral
GGGGAUGUUUUGGUUUUGACAGCAGACGACAUUGGAAAGUAAGCACGUGGAGCAUUUUGUCCCGGCUCCUUAAUCUCAGGACUCAAGCCUUAACUGGCAACAACAAUUAUGCACUCGCUGCCUGAUCGUCUGUAUGACUGAUCGCUUAAUCUUUUCGGACCAGGUCCGGGAAGACGAGUAUCCCACCGGAUUUUUCGCCUUUUGGUUUCCGGUAUAUGGGGUAUCGAUUACAAAAGGCUGGUUGUAAAAAAUCUUCGGUUUUACAAUAAGAUUUUAGGAGAUACGAAGUAUGUGGCGCGCCUGUACGCAUCAUGCUUCCGACAAACAACUGCAGGAUAAACGUGUAGAAAGCUUUUGAGUGCGCUGUUUGGACGGCGGUUCGAAUCCGCCCAUCUCCACAU